GACGAACGCUGGCGGCGUGCCUAAUACAUGCAAGUCGAACGAACGGACAUUAGAACUUGUUCUAACGGAAGUGAGUGGCGAACGGGUGAGUAACACGUGGGUAACCUACCUUUAAGCGGGGGAUAACAGUGGGAAACGACUGCUAAUACCGCAUAGGACAUAGCGUCACAUGACGCAGUGAGGAAAGACGGUUUCGGCUGUCACUUAGAGAUGGACCCGCGGUGCAUUAGCUAGUUGGUAAGGUAACGGCUUACCAAGGCAAUGAUGCAUAGCCGACCUGAGAGGGUGAUCGGCCACAUUGGGACUGAGACACGGCCCAAACUCCUACGGGAGGCAGCAGUAGGGAAUCUUCCGCAAUGGACGAAAGUCUGACGGAGCAACGCCGCGUGAGUGAAGAAGGUCUUCGGAUCGUAAAGCUCUGUUGUUAGAGAAGAAGAGUUGUGGGAGUAACUGCCCGUAAUGUGACGGUAUCUAACCAGAAAGCCACGGCUAACUACGUG
RNAcentral lists this ribosomal RNA (500 nucleotides) under uncultured bacterium. RNAcentral describes it as "partial 16S ribosomal RNA". It matches the Rfam family "Bacterial small subunit ribosomal RNA", at positions 28 to 507 of the family's 1533-position model. The record is from RNAcentral.